GUUGGGUGUUUAAAUUACAAGCAUGCCACAACGCCUCCAAGCAUUUAGACACACCUACGUGCAACCCCUAGAGCCAUACGGAUUUGGAUAAAAUCCGCCAGCAAUUCGCUGCCAUUUGAAAUGAUUAAACAAUUAAUUACACAAAUUGCAAAUAAUGCAGAACAAUGGUGUGCUUUGAGCGUGGGAGAGACAUAGAAUAAUAAUGGCGACCAAAAAGAAAGAGAGAGAGAGAGAGAGAGAGAGAGAGCGGGAAAGCAUUUCGCCGGCAAUCCAAGCUUGUAUACUUAAAUAUGCUCGGAAUAACCCAAGACGCAAAAAUGUGUGGCGAAAGAAGCGAAGCUGGCAAACAACGCAAUCAAAAA
Long non-coding RNA from Drosophila innubila, 362 nucleotides. RefSeq lists it as uncharacterized. NCBI's taxonomy places the organism in Eukaryota, Metazoa, Arthropoda, Insecta, Diptera, Drosophilidae. The record is from RefSeq and is a predicted model, not a curated record. The transcript is spliced from 2 exons.